GUUUAUGAAAAGCAGUUUUCUCAUUAAAUCUUAACCAUUUCUAUCGUUUCAUAUUGCCUCAGUAAGAAUAAAAAGCAGUUUGCCCUAUAUACCCCAUUUAGAAUAACUGAGAUUUCGUUAAUUUAAAUUCAAAACGAAACUAGUUAUCCUGUGUAAGGAUGCUAACACAAAAGUCGCCAAAACGGACCCCAAAUCAUUGUUCUAACAAUCGACCCAGAAUUAAGUCUUUUAAUUUUAAGAAAAAUCUAUCGUCAAACAUGUCAAACGUAUCGAGACCCUAGUUACCUUAAACAUAUAAAUAAAAAAGAAGAUAUGGAUGAGACAACUCUUCACCAAAAUGAAACAGCAAUUAACAACUAUAGGUCACCGUACGGCCUUCAAAAUUAACAAUGAGCAAAGCCCAUACCGCAUAGUCAGCUAUUAAAGGCCCCGAAAUGACAAUGUAAAACAAAUCAAACGAGAAAACUAACUGUCUUAUUUAUGUACAAAAAAUGAACGAAAAACAAAUAUGUAACACGUAAACAGACGACAACCACCGACUUGGGACAGGCACAUACAUACAUAAUGUGGCGCCGCGGGGUUAUUUAGCGGGAUCCCAACCCUCCCCUUUAAGCAUAAGUUGAUAUUAUUGUCAAUGAGAUAGUUAUCUUUAAUUGACCAAAUGACGAGUAUGUGUACAGUUGCAAUUACAUAUGACCGUCAACACGAGCAAACCUCACGCAUACCGUAUACAGUGAAGCAACUAACUAAGCAAUAAAAGACCCAGACAUGAUUUACGUAAAAUAUUUCAAACAACAAAAUCAAUGGCUUCGCUACUGAUUAAACAUCAAACGAAAACCUAAGUGCCAUUUUGAUACAAGACAAAAGAACAAAGCACUAGUAUAAAGAGAUAACGGUACUUACAGGUCGAAAUCAUAAAUCGUAGAAAAACGGGCAAAAAAUGGUCCCAAAACACUACUGGCCAAUAAAACGAAAGAUUACUCAUCUCGAACUGA
This 995-nucleotide long non-coding RNA is filed under the name Mytilus galloprovincialis (Mediterranean mussel). Lineage: Eukaryota; Metazoa; Mollusca; Bivalvia; Mytilida; Mytilidae. The record is from RNAcentral.